GGGUUGUGAGGUUAAGCGACUAAGCGUACACGGUGGAUGCCCUGGCAGUCAGAGGCGAUGAAGGACGUGCUAAUCUGCGAUAAGCGUCGGUAAGGUGAUAUGAACCGUUAUAACCGGCGAUUUCCGAAUG
Molecule: ribosomal RNA, 130 nt
Filed under: Escherichia coli
Lineage: Bacteria; Pseudomonadati; Pseudomonadota; Gammaproteobacteria; Enterobacterales; Enterobacteriaceae
Description: partial 23S ribosomal RNA
Rfam family: Bacterial large subunit ribosomal RNA
Source: RNAcentral